UGGCUCAGAUUGAACGCUGGCGGCAGGCCUAACACAUGCAAGUCGAGCGGAAACGAGUUAUCUGAACCUUCGGGGAACGAUAACGGCGUCGAGCGGCGGACGGGUGAGUAAUGCCUAGGAAAUUGCCUGAUGUGGGGGAUAACCAUUGGAAACGAUGGCUAAUACCGCAUGAUGCCUACGGGCCAAAGAGGGGGACCUUCGGG
RNAcentral lists this ribosomal RNA (203 nucleotides) under Vibrio parahaemolyticus. RNAcentral's name for it is "partial 16S ribosomal RNA". It matches the Rfam family "Bacterial small subunit ribosomal RNA", at positions 20 to 224 of the family's 1533-position model. Lineage: Bacteria; Pseudomonadati; Pseudomonadota; Gammaproteobacteria; Vibrionales; Vibrionaceae. The record is from RNAcentral.